UGAUGGGCGUCGGCUGGCCAGUGGGCGUCGGCUCGUCAUUACCACCCCAUCCUCCUCGGACUCCGGGUUGUAUGUUUGUGAAGCGUCGCUUAGCAACAGCACCGCCAAAUCAGUGGAGGCGAGGGCGCACCUCACUGUCAUAGAACCACCCACUCUGACUGCGCAGCCCAAAAGGAAGAUCUCAGCCGACCUCGACAGGAAUGUGGAUAUCCCCUGUCUGGCUACAGGGGUCCCUCAGCCGAGGAUAGAGUGGUACAAGGAUGCCGUGCCCAUUUCCAAACUGGCUAACCCUCGCUACAAGGUCAACGCGGCAGCUGGGCUGACUGUGCGCCGGGUGCAGCCGGGGGAUGGAGGAAUAUUCCAGUG
This is a long non-coding RNA of Salarias fasciatus (jewelled blenny), 366 nucleotides long. RefSeq lists it as uncharacterized. Lineage: Eukaryota; Metazoa; Chordata; Actinopteri; Blenniiformes; Blenniidae. The transcript has 3 exons. The record is from RefSeq and is a predicted model, not a curated record.